GAUCAUGGCUCAAGACGAACGCUGGCGGCAUGCCUAACACAUGCAAGUCGAACGAGACCUUCGGGUCUAGUGGCGCACGGGUGCGUAACGCGUGGGAAUCUGCCCUUAGGUUCGGAAUAACUUCGGGAAACUGAAGCUAAUACCGGGUGAUGACGUAAGUCCAAAGAUUUAUCGCCUAAGGAUGAGCCCGCGUUGGAUUAGCUAGUUGGUGAGGUAAAGGCUCACCAAGGCGACGAUCCAUAGCUGGUCUGAGAGGAUGAUCAGCCACACUGGGACUGAGACACGGCCCAGACUCCUACGGGAGGCAGCAGUGGGGAAUAUUGGACAAUGGGCGAAAGCCUGAUCCAGCAAUGCCGCGUGAGUGUUGAAGGCCUUAGGGUUGUAAAGCUCUUUUACCCGGGAUGAUAAUGACAGUACCGGGAGAAUAAGCUCCGGCUAACUCCGUG
This 446-nucleotide ribosomal RNA is filed under the name uncultured bacterium. RNAcentral's name for it is "bacterial SSU rRNA". It matches the Rfam family "Bacterial small subunit ribosomal RNA", at positions 15 to 507 of the family's 1533-position model. The record is from RNAcentral.